This 253-nucleotide ribosomal RNA is filed under the name uncultured archaeon. RNAcentral's name for it is "partial 16S ribosomal RNA". It matches the Rfam family "Archaeal small subunit ribosomal RNA", at positions 474 to 727 of the family's 1478-position model. The record is from RNAcentral.
UACCCGCAGCACAAGUGGUGGUCAUUAUUAUUGGGCCUAAAGCGUCCGUAGCUGGCUUGUUAGAUGCCUGGGUAAAUCGAAGCGCUCAACGUUUCGAACUCCGGGUAGACCGGCAAGCUUGGGACCGGGAGAGAUGUGAGCUACUCGAGGGGUAGGGGUAAAAUCCUGUAAUCCUUCGGGGAGGACCAGUGGCGAAGGCGUCACAUUAGAACGGCUCCGACAGUGAGGGACGAAGCCCUGGGGCGCAAACCGG